AUUUGACUUUAAUUUCCCUUUAUGACCCCGUUUGCUAAUCUCUAUUGCACAGAUAAAGAGAGGUAACCCAGGCACCAUUACCUGCGACGUGGAGAAUUUUCUGCAGUUCAAUUAUCUUUUUUUUUCUCCCCUUGAGCAAUAAAAUCUCUCUGUCUCUCUCCCUCUUUCUGUUCCUUAAAGCUCAUUCUCAUAAUUCUCCCUCUCCUGCUCUCAAGAUGAGGUCAGGUACUUCGCUGCUGCCUUGUUGUUUGUGGAAGUCACGGCUAUCCAGUGCUGGAGCAGCGGGCUCAGCAACCUGCACAUGUUGUUGAAUGCAAUGCAGGAAACACGCACAUGGGAGGUGCAGGUGAGACACCAGAACUGAAGAGAGCAGACUGGCACGUGGGGAGCACUCUGAGUUCUGCACAGACAUCUCUUUCUGGAUUGCUUUCAACCCCUAUUCCUCCUGAAAUGCCAGCUCGAUGAGUAGCAAAGAUGUUGCUGAAUUGAUGAUUUAAUUCAACUGGGGUUUGGUGUUUUUUCUUUCCUGUUGCCUUCAGAGGCAUUUUAAGGGAGGCACGUGCUCAUAAUCACGCCGCCCCUUUGAAAGGCCGUACUCAUUUGUCUGCAACCCCUUUGAAAGGCUCCACAGUCUACACUCUGAACCCUUCCUUUAAAGCAAAGCCAAAACAAAAAAAAAGAAAGAAAAAAAGAAAGAAAAAGCAAGCAAGGUGAAUGCCAGUUUGAUUGGUGGCAGGCUGCAGAUUCUGAAGGCUGUUCUCCAUCAGAGCUUGCACAGCGAGGACCGUUGUUUUGCAUGGGCAGCACGAAGCACAAAGGAGGUGCUCAGGCCUCACCUCGCACAUUUAAUCACUCCUGUGAAUGGGUGUCAUUGAGGUCCUGGCAGCCCAGCCCCAGCAUGCAGCAUCCCCCCGAGGUACUAUUGCCAUGUGAGCUGCAAGACGGCACAGAGAAGCAGAUCCUUUUAUUCCUCCUUUCCCAGAUGACCAGCCAGUGCUUUAAGAAAGAAUGAACAUCAGAUCUUCUGAGCAUGCAAAGCAACAAGGCAUCAAGGCAGCAGUGACACAAGCAGUAAUAUCCUUCGGUAAAUGCCGCUCAAUGCAGCAGGGCUUCCGAGCGAUUAAAGGAGUCUUGGAAAUGUCAUUGCCCUGACCAAAUGAGAUAAUUUGUAUCUUCUGUCACUGGAAUCAAAUGCUAUUUUUUCUUUUUGUAAUUAACUUGUGACUAUGGGAAGGUGGGAGUAGGGAUGGGGGUUGGGAAGGGAAUUUUAUGGGUAAUCCAGCCGCUGCAUGGAAAUGAUGGUUGGGUAAUUGUGUUCUCUAAAUGAACUUGACUCUAUGGUUGGUGUCAGGUUUUGUUAAGUGCCCUGGGCCAAUGGAGACUAAUUAGGAAUGCAUUAAAUAUUAAAGCUCUCUGACACUGGGGCAUUGACGGUGACAGAAGAAAAGAAAUCCCGUAACCUAAUCUGCACCCAACAGGAGUAAUUUAUGUUCCCUUCUUCUAACAAUGAAAAAUCCAAUUAUUUGGCCUGUUGGAAAAAAAAAAAAAAUAAUGUAUUUAAAGGAAAAGUUAAUUAAGGGAGGAAAAAGUAUAUAUGAAAAAAUAAUACAGAUGCUGUCAACACAGGCUGUGAGUGGCAGCUUCCUGCAGUUCUGGCUUUGUGGCUUUCAGUUACAACCAUGGAGAGUAUUUACCUGAUGUUCUCCAUUCCAGUGCUGCAGGACAGCAGGGGAUGGCUGAGGCCAUGCAGGGAGGAUUUAGGGUGUUGGUGAUGAGGAUUCGAG
Molecule: long non-coding RNA, 1784 nt
Organism: Coturnix japonica (Japanese quail)
Lineage: Eukaryota; Metazoa; Chordata; Aves; Galliformes; Phasianidae
Source: Ensembl